This 244-nucleotide ribosomal RNA is filed under the name uncultured bacterium. Its description in RNAcentral is "partial 16S ribosomal RNA". It matches the Rfam family "Bacterial small subunit ribosomal RNA", at positions 118 to 345 of the family's 1533-position model. The record is from RNAcentral.
UGGGUGACCUGCCUCAAAGAGGGGAAUAGCCUCCCGAAAGGGAGAUUAAUACCGCAUAAUAUGUUUAGGUCGCAUGACUUUAACAUCAAAGGAUUUUUCUUUUUAAGAAAUUCCACUUUGAGAUGGACCCGCGGCGCAUUAGCUAGUUGGUGAGGUAACGGCUCACCAAGGCAACGAUGCGUAGCCGACCUGAGAGGGUGAUCGGCCACAUUGGAACUGAGACACGGUCCAGACCUCGUACGGG